GGCAGUGUGGCAUAGUGGUAAGGAGAAGGGCUUGUAACCGAAAGGUUACCGGUUCGAUUCCCCGCUGGGGCACUGCUG
This 78-nucleotide transfer RNA is filed under the name Megalops atlanticus (tarpon). RNAcentral describes it as "tRNA-OTHER". Lineage: Eukaryota; Metazoa; Chordata; Actinopteri; Elopiformes; Megalopidae. The record is from RNAcentral.